RNAcentral lists this ribosomal RNA (253 nucleotides) under uncultured bacterium. Its description in RNAcentral is "partial 16S ribosomal RNA". It matches the Rfam family "Bacterial small subunit ribosomal RNA", at positions 524 to 776 of the family's 1533-position model. The record is from RNAcentral.
GACGUAGGGGGCCAGCGUUGUUCGGAAUUACUGGGUGGAAAGGGUUCGUAGGCGGUGUGGCAAGUCGGGAGUGAAAUCUCUGGGCUCAACCCAGAGUCUGCUUCCGAAACUGCUGUGCUUGAGUGUGGGAGAGGCGCGUGGAAUUGCAGGUGUAGCGGUGAAAUGCGUAGAUAUCUGGAGGAACACCCGUGGCGAAAGCGGCGCGCUGGACCACUACUGACGCUGAGGAACGAAAGCUAGGGGAGCAAACAGG